This is a long non-coding RNA of Anneissia japonica, 965 nucleotides long. RefSeq lists it as uncharacterized. The record is from RefSeq and is a predicted model, not a curated record. The transcript has 3 exons. Lineage: Eukaryota; Metazoa; Echinodermata; Crinoidea; Comatulida; Comatulidae.
UAUGAAUGUCGCCCUCUACAGAAAUCAGCAAUACUCAAAAAGUUUGAAAUCAAAUCAUCACCAUCAUAAUUGCGACAUAGCACACUUAAUGCGUCUUCUAUUGAAGCGAUUGUUAGCCAAUUUUUUAGAUUGCUUCUCUGACAUUUUGCUGAUGUGGAAUUUAAUUGAUGCAUCCUUUACGUUGGAAUAUGUGCGGGAUAUUGUGGUAUUCACAGUAUUUUGAGGGUAAAACGCCUUAAUCGCUGCUCAAAAUGCUUGAUGGAAGCGAAUCUCUCCUCUUCAAUCAUGAUAAAAUAUAUAACCUGCAUUACGAUACAAGACAACUGUUAUCUAUGUUCAUCUCAUCAAUUCAUCUCAUCAUCUUACGAAUCCAUUGAUCUAGGCCCCUUUCACAGACAAAGAGAAAUCACCUUUCUUGCUCUCUCGCGCUACCAAGCAAACAUCUCCCCGUCGCUAGUUUCUAAAUCUGUUAUGAUCCUAUUCAAGAAACAUUCUUUGCGAUUUCCUCCAAAAACAGGGCUAAACACCUGGUUACUGAUGUCUGCACAUGCUUUUUUCUCGCAUCCUUUGUUUCUUCGGAUGUACCUACCUGCGGACAAUUUCCUCUGCGGAAGAGAAGUCGUAAGUGUAGACGUUUGAGCAGGUGGCUGGCUUUGCACGUAUUCAUUGAUGUUUUUUUUUAGCAGGUGCUAAUACAUCACUGACAAAGGUGAAAUAGGCUGCUAAAGCAUUCUGACAUUAGCAAAAUGAUCGAGUUGUAGUGAUUCAUAGAAAUUUUAUCUAAAUCCUUAAUACUAAAACAAUUCGCUUUUCUUUUCAAUUUCAAUAACAAUCAAUUAUUUUUAUUAAAUAUAUUUGUUGGGGUAUUAUAAUAAAAAUUUAAUAGGCAUUAAGGGUGUUUGAAUUCUUUUAAAGAUUUCAGGUAAAUUAUGGACUGUUCCAUUAUUUUGAAAAUUCCAGAAGGU